UUUCUUUCUCUCCCCCUCCAUUGACUCCAUUCUAGAAAUUCUUCCUCCUCAAUAGUUCCUGAACUAAUGCUGAAGAGGAUUGAUUCCCAUAUCUAAUCACAAUUUGUAGAAUAAAUAGGAGCUCCGUAUUCCAUUUGUCCAUCUAUUCAACUAACAUGCAUUGAGGAUUGCCACUUUGCCAGACACUUGGAGCCCCCAGAUAAACACAGCUAAAAUAUUCCAUCUCUGUCUUCCAAUCACAGUCCAGUGGGGAAUAAAGCAAGCAAGAAAUCCAGGGAUUGCCAAAGAAUGUGGCAGGAAUAAAGCACAAUCAGAGUGGUGUCAUUAAGAAGUCACAGACAAUGUCAUAGACAUUGCCCACAUCAGCUUUGGAACUCCUCAUUUCGAUGCCUCUGAAACAUCUGGAGGGAGCACAGCACAGUCAUUAAGCGUUGGCCUCUUGAGUCCCAGAGUGUCUAGGUUCAAUCUUGGCUCUGCCCCUUACAAGAUAGUAAUUUGAGACAUGGGGAAAUUAAGUAAAGGUGACAUGGCUGGCAAGUGGAGGAGCUGCGAUUCAAAUGGAGGAGCUGAGAUUCAAAUGCAGCCAGGCUGGGGCCAGGGCCAGAGUCUUCACCACCAUUCUACACCAGCUCUCACAGAGACUGCGCUCUCAUCUGCAUAUUCCCACUGUCUGUGUAAAGCAAUGGCUGAGGCUUUCAGAAGUAGCUUUACUAACUGAGGUUUGGAAUAACACACUUCUUGGCAAAGUAUUUUGGGAGGUAGAGGUGAAUGAUUCAAUUCAAUAAAUAGAUAUUCCAUUCAUA
RNAcentral lists this long non-coding RNA (803 nucleotides) under Homo sapiens (human). RNAcentral describes it as "HSALNT0368607". Lineage: Eukaryota; Metazoa; Chordata; Mammalia; Primates; Hominidae. The record is from RNAcentral.